Molecule: long non-coding RNA, 996 nt
Organism: Daphnia pulicaria
Lineage: Eukaryota; Metazoa; Arthropoda; Branchiopoda; Diplostraca; Daphniidae
Exons: 3
Source: RefSeq, a predicted model, not a curated record
AGUUUAGUCUUCGCAGUUCAUCACGAAACUAGGGCAUUGAGUCUUCUUGUUCGCAAACGAAGGAUGUAAUAAACUAUUAAUGCAGUCUCCUUCCUUUCGGAUCUGUUCGCACUUCGCAGUCGGACUUUUGCCGCUUUGGCUCUUUGCAGGCUUGGCAGAGAUGCCAGAUGCGAACGUUUUUAAAUGCAAAACUGAAAAUGGCAAUGUUGUACGUUACUUUCAAGAUGGCUGCUGGCAUUCGAUGAGAGUCGACAGCAACUGACAGUUCGCACAUUUCGCAGGUGAAAUGGAUCGUCCGGUUUGUAGAAUGGUUUCGAGAUUAGAACAGGCUUUGAUUUUGUUGCAGCCAGCUGAUGAAUGGUGGUGUUAGCUGUUGCAUGCAGUCUGUGGUGCUGGUGUGAUGUCCAAUGGAACUGUUGCAUGCAGCGUGUAGUGCCGGUGUGAUGUCAAGGGGAGCUAUUUCAUGCAUCCUGUGGUGUUUACUUGAAAUGUAUUGGCUGUUGUGGACUUGUUCGUCCAUAUAGUAUGAUGAUUGAUGCAACCUGAUCUUACAAGAUAAGGAGUGAUUCAAUCGACAACUGCUGGUUUAAAUUGUUUUCUGGCCAAAAAAAACCUAAAUGUUAAUAUCAUGGUUGAGAACAACAGGCCCCUCUCUGGAAAUGCUGUUUUAAAUUUCUUGAAGUAUUGAAAAGCUGACUAUGUUGAAUAAAAUUAAAUUGUGAAAGAAAAUGGGUUUUAAAAAGGGGUUUAAUGUUUGCAGCAUCAUUAGUAUAAGGAGAAUAUUUGUUGUUUGAAAUUUGUUUUUGCAGUUGAACAGAUUUUCUGGUCUUGGGUACACUGUCUAAUAUAUCUAGCAUGUUAUAUAUUUUUUCUGCAUAAAUAGUAAAAUUAUUUCAAACUAAUAUUAAUAGUAUUGAAAUUCACAUUUGUCUGAUUGAAUUCGAUUUUGCGGCGAUUAUUGUAAGUAAUGAUAAAUAAAUUGAAUGUAUAUAAGUA